RNAcentral lists this ribosomal RNA (464 nucleotides) under uncultured bacterium. Its description in RNAcentral is "partial 16S ribosomal RNA". It matches the Rfam family "Bacterial small subunit ribosomal RNA", at positions 29 to 506 of the family's 1533-position model. The record is from RNAcentral.
AUGAACGCUGGCGGCGUGCUUAACACAUGCAAGUCGAACGAUGAAGCCCAGCUUGCUGGGUGGAUUAGUGGCGAACGGGUGAGUAACACGUGAGUAACCUGCCCUUAACUCUGGGAUAAGCCUGGGAAACUGGGUCUAAUACCGGAUAGGAGCGUCCACCGCAUGGUGGGUGUUGGAAAGAUUUAUCGGUUUUGGAUGGACUCGCGGCCUAUCAGCUUGUUGGUGAGGUAAUGGCUCACCAAGGCGACGACGGGUAGCCGGCCUGAGAGGGUGACCGGCCACACUGGGACUGAGACACGGCCCAGACUCCUACGGGAGGCAGCAGUGGGGAAUAUUGCACAAUGGGCGCAAGCCUGAUGCAGCGACGCCGCGUGAGGGAUGACGGCCUUCGGGUGGUAAACCUCUUUCAGUAGGGAAGAAGCGAAAGUGACGGUACCUGCAGAAGAAGCACCGGCUAACUACGU